RNAcentral lists this transfer RNA (73 nucleotides) under Nanoarchaeales archaeon. RNAcentral describes it as "tRNA-Gln". It matches the Rfam family "tRNA". From Rfam's summary of the family: Transfer RNA (tRNA) molecules are approximately 80 nucleotides in length. Their secondary structure includes four short double-helical elements and three loops (D, anti-codon, and T loops). Further hydrogen bonds mediate the characteristic L-shaped molecular structure. tRNAs have two regions of fundamental functional importance: the anti-codon, which is responsible for specific mRNA codon recognition, and the 3' end, to which the tRNAs corresponding amino acid is attached (by aminoacyl-tRNA synthetases). tRNAs cope with the degeneracy of the genetic code in two manners: having more than one tRNA (with a specific anti-codon) for a particular amino acid; and 'wobble' base-pairing, i.e. permitting non-standard base-pairing at the 3rd anti-codon position. The record is from RNAcentral. Lineage: Archaea; Nanobdellati; Nanobdellota; Candidatus Nanoarchaeia; Nanoarchaeales.
AGUCCUGUAGUGUAGUGGCCUAUCAUCCGAGGUUCUGAGCCUUGUGACCCCAGUUCGAAUCUGGGCAGGACUA